UACCAGCGCCACAAGUGGGGAUCAUAUUUAUUUGGCCUAAAGCGUCCGUAGCUGGUUAGACAAAUCUUUUGUGAAAUCGUGGGGCUUAACUCCACGGCGUGCAGGAGACACUAUCUGACUUGAAACCGGGAGAAGUCAAAGGUAUUCUAGGGGGAGCGGUAAAAUGUUAUAAUCCCUGGAGGACCACCUAUAGCGAAGGCAUUUGACUAGAACGGAUUUGACAGUGAGGGACGAAAGCUAGGGGAGCGAACCG
Molecule: ribosomal RNA, 253 nt
Filed under: uncultured archaeon
Lineage: Archaea
Description: partial 16S ribosomal RNA
Rfam family: Archaeal small subunit ribosomal RNA
Source: RNAcentral